ACCUUAAAUAUAUUCUGUCCUUCGCCACUGGGGCGAGGUGAAGGAGAAGCUGGUGGCAUUUCCUCCACCACUGGGGCGAGGUGAAGAUAGAGAAGCCGGUGGCACUAUAUCAAGAGGCAGAGAUCAGAUGUGCACGAAACAGGUGUCUGCUUCAAUCCCUGGUAUUGUUCAGUUUGCUCCUCAAUCUUCCCAUUCUGAUACUCAAUUGUUUUUAACACCGCCGUUUUGAAGGAUUUUUGGUUGAACGGUUUCAUUGUUGAGAUUUUGAUGCGAUCUAGGGCAUGAAUUAACAAUCAAUCAAUCAUUGUAAACAUGCCAUCUUGUUCUGACACCAGUGUCAACAAGCACCGUCCUAGAUCAUAUCAAGUGCCAAUGAGAAGAUCCUGUCACCUAAUCUCAACAAGCACCGCCUGCUCCUUCGGUGUCUGCCUCUCCGACGACAUAUUCUUCACCUGUACCAUUGUGCCGUGGGUGAAGACAGCUCUCUGUCCUGCGACCAAACAAGGUGAGGCUUUGGUUUGAUUUUGUUCCCCUUGCUAUGGAUCAAUGAGUACCGGUCCAUGAUGAGUGUUGUUGAAGAGAGGAACUUGGAAGACUUUUUUGUACAAUUCAAUUUUGUGUAUUAGUGUAAUCUAAGGUCCUGCAAACUUCUCAUUAGUUCAUUUUGUUGAGUAAUAAAUUUAAUAGGAUAUUCUGUAUACAUCUAUUUCCUUGUGGUAGUUUUUCUAUUAUGUUUCCUAUCAGGACUGCUAAGAGAAUAGGAAUACCUGAUGACAAGAGGAUCAUAACUAUGUUGGCAGAUGAUACUGCUCGUAAUCUCAAUAAUAAUUGUCCAACCCCAUUUUACAUCAAUGAGAAUCACUAGUUAAAUUAGCUAAAUCUUUAUGGGGACAAUGUUGAGGUGAGCGUCUUCACUCUGAAAUUAUUGUUACUGAACCACAACAUCAGUGUGCCCAAGCCUAAUAACACUGCACAAUUCACCAGCCGUAUGGGUAAUCUUUAUGAUUCUGGUUAUGAAAUGAGCUGAUGCGUGGCGAUGAUGAUAGAGAUGGUAACUGCAAAGGUAUUUUCACUAGCUCUAAACCAUUUGUCAAAGGACAUACUCAGCAACUGGGAAGUCAUUGCUGUCAACCAAGGUAGUGUAGACGUCCAAGGAAAGAAAGUGCAAUCCAACAAUGGCUUGGAGGCAAGGAUUUAUCAGCCUCUGCAAUCUGCAUUAGUGCCUCCCAUGAAGCACCUUGUUCUACAGCAAAACCACAAAUAGCUUUAGCAAGAUUCUGAGGAUAACAGUGAUGUCUUCUUUUAUAGGUUUGGGUUGGGCCGCUCAGCAACAACAGGAAGGCUGUGGUUCUCUGGAACUGACAGGGCUACCAGGCAACCAUCACUGCGCAAUGGUCAAACAUUGGGCUUGCUUUGUCCACUGUUGUCACUGCUCGUGAUCUUUGGGCGGUAAGCUUUGCUUUCUUCAGAUCCCAUACUGGACAUUAUAAUCAAGUAUGAAGGUUGAUGGUUCAGACAUCAGAUUUCAUAUUCCAUUUCUUGUGCAUUUGUGCAACACUCGUCCUUCUUGGCCCAGGGCCAAUUAUCAGCUUCAGUGGCACAUCAUGAUAGCAAGAUGUAUGUCCUGACCCAAAGUAACUUUUAGCAGAGAACUGCAAGAUGUAUGUCAUGAAAUUUGAUGUAGUUGGUGACUAGCUGCUGUUGAAGCAGGCAACUAAAAUGAGAAAAGGUCCAUUAUGGUUU
This is a long non-coding RNA of Panicum virgatum (switchgrass), 1743 nucleotides long. RefSeq lists it as uncharacterized. NCBI's taxonomy places the organism in Eukaryota, Viridiplantae, Streptophyta, Magnoliopsida, Poales, Poaceae. The transcript has 2 exons. The record is from RefSeq and is a predicted model, not a curated record.